CGGAAUCGCUGCUUGUCCCAUGAAACUCCAGUACCAACUGAAAAAUCUCAGCUGGAUGCCACACAAACCAUGAUAGAAUCUCAGUACAGGCCUCGUGUCACAGAGUCAAAAUUGCAGAAGAUCUCCAUAAAAUAUCCUUUGUUGUAUACUCAGUCAUCUUGGCCUCCGAAAACUACAAAGGGAGAGCACUGAAGCCAUUUUUUAAGCAAAUAAAAUAAGUGGUAUGUAAACAAAUAAAGUUUGCUCUCAUUUUUAGUUCUUGGAGAUGGAGAUGAAUAAGAACCUAAUUGUUUUAUUUAGAGUAAAACGUCUGAAUUUUAUUGAAUAUUUGAAUAUUAAAACACGUAUAUUUAGAUUAUAACAUGUAAAUUUGAAUACAUAUCUGAAUAUUAAAAUGUUGUAUUAGGAUUUGAAUACCAUAUAAUUACGGUUAUUUGUUUCCUCAACAUCUUAAUGUAUAGAACCUAUCUUUAUUUAUAAAUUAAUAAAUAUGAAACUCAAAUAAGAUACUAUAUCAACAAAAUAUUCUUCAAAAAAAUUAUAUGGUGGGUGGUGGUGUUAUGGCUAAUGGUGGUGGUUGUGUGUGUCGACAGAGGGUGGUGUUCGCUAAUGGUGAUGGUUGUGGGUGGUGGCUAACAAUGCUGUUUAGUAGUGGUGGUUGAUGGUGGUGGAGGCUUAUAAUCACGGUGGAUGAUAACGACAACUAAUUGUGGCAGUACUAAUAGUGUGAUUGACAAUAUAUAAUGGUGAUGCUUGUUAAAAGUGUUUGAUGACUGUUGUGGUAAUGGUGAUUGGUGGUGAUGACUGACUGUGGUGAUUGCCGGUGGUGGUGGUCGUUGAUGAUGGUGGUGGUUAGAUGUGAAAGUGGAUGGACUAGUGGUGAAUUGUCAUUAAUCGUAUUGAGACUUUGUUAUUCUAAUUCAUUCAGUGGUUGUAAUUGUUUUAAAAAAAUUAACUGCACUUGAUGACUGAGAUUUUGAAUCAUAAAGAUGCGACUUGGUUGACAACAAGAUCUCUCUUCAUGGUCGCACUUUGAAUUUAACGAUUGAUAUUCUUGUGCUCCUUGACAUACCUUAGCUGUGGGCAUGGUGUCACCCCUUUGUUUCAAAAAUCGUUGACUGCCACUGAUGCUGAUCUCACAUUAUCACGUCUUGUGAUUCCCAAAAAGUGUGCU
RNAcentral lists this long non-coding RNA (1174 nucleotides) under Solanum lycopersicum (tomato). Its description in RNAcentral is "long non-coding RNA (SLYC_LNC000730)". Lineage: Eukaryota; Viridiplantae; Streptophyta; Magnoliopsida; Solanales; Solanaceae. The record is from RNAcentral.